GGUGUCUCACAGCUAACUAUGUGUCAUGUAGUAAAUUUUGCCUUUAGAAAAUUAACUAGCACCAUUUGCAAUGCUUCUUUCCUUCUGAAGGAAACUACGGCGUCGCCAAUUUCAACUUUAUUGAUCAUUAAUAAUGAACUAUGAUGCUUAAGGCCCCGUUCUUUAGUCCUAAAGAUGAAGAUAUAGAUGGAGGAUAAAGGAAAUUUGGAUGAAGAUAUAGAUGUAAGGAUGAACUUGCAGAGUACUAGUUGUGGAUACAAGAUGGAAUGGAUAGAAUUGCUACAUUGGUACAUAUCAAUAGCAGUACAUACAUAUAUUAGAGAGCAUAUCAUCAAUUGCAAAAUAAAUAGCAGUACAUAUAUAUUAGCACAAUUAAUACAUGGUACAUCAGAUGACUCCGAUACUAUUACAAAAGUAAAUACUGCUAAAUAUGAAAUGCUAAUACAUGCUAUUAGCAAUAUUUUCACGGACCAUAUCCAUCACAGCCUUGGUAUCACGCGCAUGGUAUGUGUGAUGUGCUGGAGAGACAUCCGGUACCGGGUGGAUAUGAGUAUGGUAUAGGGGGUUGGUACUGAUAGAGUUUGGUUCGGUACUAUCAACAAUAAAGUUGUUCAAUGCCAUGGCAGCAUGAAUAAUCAUGUUGUGUGCACGUGGUGUGUAAGCCGGAAUACUGUCCAAUAUUUGCCACCUCACCUUGAUACGUCCGAAAAGUCGUUCGACCGACCUGCGCAGAGAGGAGUGGUAGAAAUUGAAAAUCUCAUCCCUAUCUUGGGGAGGUGCCGCAUGUUCAAAUUGCGGCUGCUAGUACCUCACUUCAGGAUACGGUGCGAGAAACCCCUACCUAUUCGCAUACCCCUUAUCGACGAGAAAAUAUUUACCUACAACAAAAAAUUUAAUGUCGUGCACUAAGAAUUAUGUUAAUACCAUAAAAACAAAUGUACCAUAAGUAAAUACCUGGCGGUACCCUGGGGAACCGAUCAAGAUACUUCCUCAUAGCACUCGAUCAGGACACCCGGUGAUCGUGCACUGACCCCGGCCAUCCAGUUACAUCAAAAAUUACGCGGUCGCUCCAGUCUGAAAUGACCAACACAUUUGGUGUAGUUUCACCAACCUAGUUACGGUAUUGAACGUUGGGUCCAUUGGCCGAACUACAUCACAUGCCAUACAGACUAUCGCGUGAAGCACUCGGCUGAAAUAUUUGGAAAUAGUUAAUCCGGAUCUUUCGAACCUAUUGUUCGCUCUCUUGUUAACUUCACCCCCGACAUUGUCUACAGGAAAAAUCUUACUGCUUCCAAAGUGCUAACCUCAUAGGACGCUCUCAAGUUGUAAUUGUACUGGGACGCUCUCAAGUUGUAAUUGUACUGGAGGAUGUCAUUUAGUAAAAUCACCUAAUCUGGUUGCAUACGAAACAUGCUCCUGCAUUGAGGUCCAUUUCCUAAUGUUUGCAUCAUCCAUUGUUGCCCCGUCAGUAGUGGCACACGACUUGGUGCCCUUUGCGGUCAUACAAGUUGAGCUGCAAGGAAUCCUUCAAUGUAUUAUUCAAUAUCAUCUUCGGAUAUCUCGCCCAUCGUACCUUAGGAAUCGUCAUCGCUGCUACUAUUGCUCAUCCCUUCUUAUCUGCACAAACAUGGCAAAUUCAUAGCCACACAUAAAUAAUCCAUUUGGAAUUGAAGAGGGAACACAUAUAUAAAAAAGGCAACGACGGUCCAAACAGCAUGACUUAGUAAAUAUAAAAUGCGAUUAACAACUUGACUCAUCACAUAGAAAAUUGUUACAACAUGAAAACCAUUGCACAACGUUCAGGAAUUUACGAACUACACAAAUCGAACUUAACGAGAACAAAUACGCAUUGUUUAUGAAAUAACAACAGGGUUCACGAGGAGGGAAGAAAGUAAACAAUACGAUACAAUAUUAAUUGCCUUAGCAAACAGUUCUCAUCCUCUUCGGUCAAAAUCCUCAAGGUCCCCCUGCACCAUCAACACCAUCUCCUCGCCCUCCUCCCGUGGACAUCUUCGUCGCCUCCAUUGCUUGUCGUUGUCUCUGUUCUAACCCUGUGGAAUCGGUCUUCUCAGCCAUAGAGUGGGCCUGUCCAUGCCGCCGGCACCGAUGUGCAUCGCAAGAGUCAUUGGCCAUCCCCUGGCAACAUCGGCCGUGCUUCGUCUACCUCCGUCGAAAGCGACAGCACCUUGUCCAUCAUGCUCACCCAUCACUGACGCCUCGUCCUCGAUCGGCAGCGUGGAUUGAUGCAAGUUAAUGCCCUGUGUGAGUUCAUGUGGGAGACAGAAAGAUUUUCACAGAGAGCGGCUAUCAGAGUUUUAGCUUUAUGUGAAUUAAUUGUGGAAUGUACGAGUCCACAUGAACCUAGCCAUGUAUGAAUUCGUGAGGCAUGUAAUGUUUAGAACCAAGUUUGGAUGAUGUGAUCUAUAGAGUUUAUAAGCAUAUUGUUAUGCGUCUGUGAAAUGUAUGGUGUGAUCUUAUAGCAAUGUACUUGAGAUUGAGAUGAAUAUGAUACUGAUCGCUCAAAAAUUGUUUCUA
Oryza sativa Japonica Group (Japanese rice) is the source of this 2535-nucleotide non-coding RNA. Lineage: Eukaryota; Viridiplantae; Streptophyta; Magnoliopsida; Poales; Poaceae. The record is from RefSeq and is a predicted model, not a curated record.